This 255-nucleotide ribosomal RNA is filed under the name uncultured bacterium. Its description in RNAcentral is "partial 16S ribosomal RNA". It matches the Rfam family "Bacterial small subunit ribosomal RNA", at positions 524 to 777 of the family's 1533-position model. The record is from RNAcentral.
UACAGAGGUCCCAAGCGUUACUGAGAAUCACUGGGUUUAAAGGGUGCGUAGGUGGUCCGUUAAGUCAGUUGUGAAAUCCCCGGGCUCAACCCGGGAAAUGCUUCUGAUACUGGCGGACUUGAGGCCAGUAGGGGUCACUAGAACUGACGGUGGAGCGGUGAAAUGCGUAGAUAUCGUCAGGAAUGCCGGUGGUGAAGACGGGUGACUGGGCUGGUUCUGGACACUGAGGCACGAAAGCGUGGGGAGCGAACGGGG